Molecule: ribosomal RNA, 514 nt
Filed under: uncultured Glomus
Lineage: Eukaryota; Fungi; Glomeromycota; Glomeromycetes; Glomerales; Glomeraceae
Description: SSU rRNA
Rfam family: Eukaryotic small subunit ribosomal RNA
Source: RNAcentral
AGCAGCCGCGGUAAUUCCAGCUCCAAUAGCGUAUAUUAAAGUUGCUGCAGUUAAAAAGCUCGUAGUUGAAUUUCGGGACUAAUAUGUCGGUCGUGCCUCGGUACGUACUGGUUUAUUGGUUUCUCCUUUCUGAAGAACCAUGAUGUCAUUUAUUUGGUGUCGUGGGGAAUCAGGACUGUUACUUUGAAAAAAUUAGAGUGUUUAAAGCAGGCUCACGCUUGAAUACAUUAGCAUGGAAUAAUGAAAUAGGACGUUUGAUUCUAUUUUGUUGGUUUCUAGGAUCGACGUAAUGAUUAAUAGGGAUAGUUGGGGGCAUUAGUAUUCAAUUGUCAGAGGUGAAAUUCUUGGAUUUAUUGAAGACUAACUACUGCGAAAGCAUUUGCCAAGGAUGUUUUCAUUAAUCAAGAACGAAAGUUGGGGGAUCGAAGACGAUCAGAUACCGUCGUAGUCUUAACCAUAAACUAUGCCGACUAGGGAUCGGAUGAUGUUAAUUUUUAAUGACUCAUUCGGCGCC